This is a non-coding RNA of Lactuca sativa (garden lettuce), 1942 nucleotides long. The record is from RefSeq and is a predicted model, not a curated record. Lineage: Eukaryota; Viridiplantae; Streptophyta; Magnoliopsida; Asterales; Asteraceae.
UCAUAAAAACCAUUUUCAACCGGUGAAACAAAAACUUACAAGAUUCACUGAUACGGAUCUUACCUUUUCUUCUUUCUCCCUUCGCGACUUCUGAUACGAGAGUUUGCACCUAAUUGCAUCGUAUCACAUCGCCUCACUGUUUCGACCUAAUUGCAUCACAUCGCAUCACCAUUUUGACCUAAUUUCAUCGCAUCGCUGUAUCAACCUGAUCGGACAUGAAAGCAUUCACACUGAUACGUACACCGCAGUCAUAUCCCCAUUCGUCUCUCCUUUUCCGUUCAUCGCAUUUACCAUUUCUGGUCAUUGCGUUUCUGGUUCAAUAUGUGUACGAUUUAAAAGGUGAAUUAAAUCAGCUUUAUCUUCCUCUUCACCUUUCUCAACCAUGGUAUUGACUCAAGGCUAUAAGUUGCUGCAAAAUUUGGUAAAUAAAAAGGACUUCUUUGUUUUGUCAAUUUGUUUACUUUCUGUUGGGCUUUAAUCAGGGGUAGUUAUGUCAUUUUUACUACAUUGUUCGCAUAUUCACUCCUGUAGGGUUGAAAGAAUAUAUGAUGCCAUUCGAGGAAGUAUAGUGAAAAGAGACAUCUACCUUGACUUUCAAUUGAAAAAAACUGUCACUUGUUAUGUAAUAAGUUACUGCUCUUACAUGAAUUCUAAAAGAAGUUGGAAGCCCUGAACUGGAGAGUGGUGCUGUUAAUGCUGCUCUAGAUCUUUAUGAUGUCAUUGCAUUCCAUUGUCUAUUCCAAAUUUCCAUUCCAUCAUUUUCUCAUACACCUUCAAACUCUUUACACGUUAUCCACUGUAAGGCCGGAAUGGCAAGAAUAGGCUUAAUGAUUUCAAAUAUUCUUUUAUAUCUCGAGGUAACAUCAAUUGUUCAAUUUACUAAACUACCCCUGAUACAAACUCUAUAUUAAGUGUCACUUCUUCUUGCAGCUUUUCCCUACCGUUGUAGAGUCUGUAUCAUAUUAUAACCAAAAAAUGUGUUGAUGGAAAAGGAUUUGUUCUCCCAAGUCAAAUAGUAAAUCAUUUUAUUAUUUUACGAUUUUUUUAAUUUCAUUUAUAUAAUGAAUUUUUUCACAAAAAAGACGAACAACUUUUGGUACUUAGGUUUUCAACAUGGAAAGAAAUAGCAACAUGCUUUCAUUUAUGUGUAUUACAACAUUGUACCUUCAUUUUUGUUCUUAUACAGACAUCAUAAUUUAUAAAGACACAAUUAUAGCAUGUGUUUAUCUUAUUAAGACCUUAUACGUUGAAAUUACCACAUAAACUUGCUUUGUAUUGGGAUAAGAUUGCUAUAAAUUUAUUUAUUUUAAUAAACAAAUGUAUAAAAUUUCAUUGCUACUUCUUGCAGUUAACCAUUUCUAAUAUCAUAUUCUUGCAGGCUGUGGGAUAGCUUUUUCCCAGAUGCUUCAAUCACAGGUCUGAACUCAGCAGUGAGCAGCAGGUCCAACACCGCCAACUCCAAAAUCGGUAGUGGAAUUAAUGCACUUGAUGUGUUUCUUCAACUUCCUCAUAAGCAAUAUAACACAGGCUGGGUUCUCUCUCAGGUGGGAAAAGCUCAUUUUGAAUUGGUUGAUUAUCUAGAAGCUGAGCGUGCCUUUAGCAAUGCCAGAUUGGCUUCUCCUUAUAGCUUAGAUAUCACCUGAAGGAGGAUAUGUGGUUAAGUUAUUUGGCACAAGAGCUAAUAUCAACGGAUCACUUAGCCCCUCAAUCAUGGAGUCUGAAAAGUAUUCCAUAAGGACGCCCAACAAAUGGAACUUUUCAUUUGAUUCCAUGUAUAAUUUAGGUGGGAAAUCAUCUCUUCUUAUAUGAAGAUUUAUUUGGUUAUUGUUGUUGUAUUAUAAACAUUUAUAGCAUGUGCCUUGUCUUUUGUCUAAUUGGAUAUUAUUAUAUUUCUUUUUAAAAAUGACAUUUAAUAUUUCAAUAAUUUCAUAAUUAUUGACCC